RNAcentral lists this ribosomal RNA (1434 nucleotides) under metagenome. RNAcentral's name for it is "bacterial LSU rRNA". It matches the Rfam family "Bacterial large subunit ribosomal RNA", at positions 1461 to 2925 of the family's 2925-position model. The record is from RNAcentral.
CUGAUGGAGUGACGAAGAAGGCUAGGAUCCGAUUCUUAGUGGAUUGAAUACGAGAUAUCAAGAGGGGAUGUAGGCAAAUCCGCAUCUAGAAAUCAAGAUAUGACAGGUAAAGGAUAACGAAGUCAAGCUUCCAAGAAAAGCUUCUAGGGUUAAUCAUUAUACUACCAGUACCGUAAACCGACACAGGUGGGUAGGAAGAGAAUUCUAAGACGCGCGAGAAAACCCUUGUUAAGGAACUCUGCAAGUUGGCCCCGUAAGUUCGCAAUAAGGGGAGCUCAUGUAAAAGUGAGCCACAGAAAAGAAGCCCAAGCAACUGUUUAACAAAAACACAGGUUUAUGCAAAACCGUAAGGUGAAGUAUAUGAGCUGACACCUGCCCGGCGCUGGAAGGUUAAAAGGAGAGGUUAGAGCAAUCGAAGCCUUGAAUUGAAGCCCCAGUAAACGGCGGCCGUAACGAUAACGGUCCUAAGGUAGCGAAAUUCCUUGUCAGGUAAGUUCUGACCCGCACGAAAGGUGUAAUGUCUUUGGGCACUGUCUCAACAGGGGACUCGGUGAAGUCAAACUGCCGGUGAAAAUGCCGGCUACCCGCGAUUAGACGGAAAGACCCCAUGGAGCUUUACUGUAGGUUGAUAUUGAUAUUUGGUAUGUAAUGUACAGGAUAGGUGGGAGACUAUGAAGCUAGGACGUUAGUCUUGGUGGAGUCGACGUUGGGAUACCACCCUUUGCCUAUCGAGUAUCUAACUAGUGUAAGUGGAUUACAAAGGACACUGUCAGUUGGGCAGUUUGACUGGGGCGGUCGCCUCCUAAAGAGUAACGGAGGCGCUCGAAGGUUCCCUCAGAAUGGUUGGUAAUCAUUCGCAGAGUGUAAACGCAGAAGGGAGCUUGACUGCAAGACAAACAAGUCGAGCAGGGACGAAAGUCGGAGUUAGUGAUCUUACGGUACCGCGUGGAAGGGCCGUGACUCAACGGAUAAAAGCUACCCUGGGGAUAACAGGCUGAUCACGCCCAAGCGCUCACAGCGACGGCGUGGUUUGGCACCUCGAUGUCGGCUCGUCGCAUCCUGGAGGUGGAUAAGCUUCCAAGGGUUGGGCUGUUCGCCCAUUAAAGCGGCACGCGAGCUGGGUUCAAAACGUCGUGAGACAGUUUGGUCCCUAUCUGUCGUGGGCGUUGGAAAUUUGAAGAGAGCUGUCCUUAGUACGAGAGGACCGGGAUGGACAUACCACUGGUGUACCAGUUAGCCUGCCAGGGCUAUAAGCUGGGUAGCUACGUAUGGAACGGAUAAACGCUGAAAGCAUCUAAGCGUGAAGCCUCCUCUAAGAUUAGAUUUCCCACAGAAAUGGUAAGACCCCUUAUAGACUAUAAGGUUGAUAGGCUAGGUGUGGAAGCGCAGUGAUGCGUGGAGCUGACUAGUACUAAUAGGUCGAGGACUUAACCU